GAAGACAAAACAUGGUGAAAGAUC
This 24-nucleotide non-coding RNA is filed under the name Arabidopsis thaliana (thale cress). Lineage: Eukaryota; Viridiplantae; Streptophyta; Magnoliopsida; Brassicales; Brassicaceae. The record is from RNAcentral.